This 515-nucleotide long non-coding RNA is filed under the name Mytilus galloprovincialis (Mediterranean mussel). The record is from RNAcentral. Lineage: Eukaryota; Metazoa; Mollusca; Bivalvia; Mytilida; Mytilidae.
AUCGUGACACCAAAUCGCCUGCACUGCAGCCGUCCCGCUAGACCACACGACCACCUGGGCUCUCAAUAAAAGAGCUUUCGGUGGGCAUGUGUUACCUUUCCACGUCAGUUUUAAUCUAGCGGCGUACUACAGUACAUGAUAUAUAAGGCAUGAAGAUGUUAUUGUUACAGAUCAGCUAAGUUAUCUAUAGUAAAGGAUCCUACAAAUUAAUGUAAGAUACAGUCACAGAAAAUAAUUAUAUUCAUAAGUACGUCUGAGUCAGUGACAACCCUACAACAGAUGUAUCCAUCGGAUCGCCAUCCAUGAUGUAGUACGCCGCUAGAUUAAAACUGACGUGGAAAGGUAACACAUGCCCACCGAAAGCUCUUUUAUUGAGAGCCCAGGUGGUCGUGUGGUCUAGCGGGACGGCUGCAGUGCAGGCGAUUUGGUGUCACGAUAUCACAGUAGCAUGGGUUCGAAUCCCGGCGAGGGAAGAACCAAAAAUUUGCGAAAGCAAAUUUACAGAUCUAACAUUG